This 347-nucleotide ribosomal RNA is filed under the name Mycobacterium sp. CT-27. RNAcentral's name for it is "bacterial SSU rRNA". It matches the Rfam family "Bacterial small subunit ribosomal RNA", at positions 165 to 524 of the family's 1533-position model. Lineage: Bacteria; Bacillati; Actinomycetota; Actinomycetes; Mycobacteriales; Mycobacteriaceae. The record is from RNAcentral.
AAUACCGAAUACACCCUGCUGGCUGCAUGGUCUGGUGGGGGAAAGCUUUUGCGGUGUGGGAUGGGCCCGCGGCCUAUCAGCUUGUUGGUGAGGUUACGGCUCACCAAGGCGACCACGGGUAGCCGGCCUGAGAGGGUGACCGGCCACACUGGGACUGAGAUACGGCCCAGACUCCUACGGGAGGCAGCAGUGGGGAAUAUUGCACAAUGGGCGCAAGCCUGAUGCAGCGACGCCGCGUGRGGGAUGACGGCCUUCGGGUUGUAAACCUCUUUCACCAGGGACGAAGCGCAAGUGACGGUACCUACAGAAGAAGGACCGGCCAACUACGUGCCAGCAGCCGCGGUAAU